AAAGUAUACCAGCCUUAGAUCUGUGAAAUGGAUAUGUUUUCACCCGUUCGAAUUUUUAGCAAUGGAAUUUUUUAAUCAGCAUUCAAAUGAUUCAGUACGUAUGUAUGAUGGCUAUACGGCGUCUUUCUCGGGAAACGUUUGGAAAUAUUGUAAAAAAGCGCCUUAGUUUUGGAGCUUCUGUUAGGCAGAGUUAAAUGACAUUUUCACUUGCUGACAUUUUCGUACUUUAAAUAGUGCUGACUUGUUGUU
This 249-nucleotide long non-coding RNA is filed under the name Paramuricea clavata. Lineage: Eukaryota; Metazoa; Cnidaria; Anthozoa; Malacalcyonacea; Plexauridae. The record is from RNAcentral.